This 247-nucleotide ribosomal RNA is filed under the name uncultured bacterium. RNAcentral's name for it is "partial 16S ribosomal RNA". It matches the Rfam family "Bacterial small subunit ribosomal RNA", at positions 796 to 1041 of the family's 1533-position model. The record is from RNAcentral.
CACGCCCUAAACUAUGGAUGCUAGCAGUUUCGAGUAUCGACCCUCGAAGUUGCGAAGCUAACGCGUUAAGCAUCCCGCCUGUGGAGUACGAGCGCAAGCUUAAAACAUAAAGGAAUUGACGGGGACCCGCACAAGCGGUGGAGCGUGUUGUUUAAUUCGAUGGUAAGCGAAGAACCUUACCCAGACUUGACUUCCUUGGAAGUUCUGCGAAAGCAGAGUGUGCCUUCGGGAACCAAGUGACAGGUGU